Meleagris gallopavo (turkey) is the source of this 2559-nucleotide long non-coding RNA. RefSeq lists it as uncharacterized. The record is from RefSeq and is a predicted model, not a curated record. Lineage: Eukaryota; Metazoa; Chordata; Aves; Galliformes; Phasianidae.
AAGAGUUUAGGUGAAUUCUGUGAAGGCAAAAUUCAAAUAUUGCAUUUAAAAUAGAAGGACAGAUUCUUCUCUUCUCCCUUCACUUGUCUUAAGGUAGUAAGCAAUAUUCUGAAUCUCAGUAGAGACUGUUAACUUUACCCGUCCUGCUGGAAUACUGAAACAUCAAAGUAAUUUUCAAGGCUUAUUUUUUCCUUGAAAACAUCAUCAGGUAGAUACAGCUGGGUAAAAUGUAGACAGCACAAGCUUGAAAACUGUCCUCUCUGAAGCUCUGGCUGAAGGUGUUACAUUUCAGAUAAAUCUGUUGUGGAGUCCCAGGACUGGUUACUGUAGAUAGAGAAAAAUCUGUGAACCUAAUCUGUCACUUACUACCAGAAAGUAGUCUGUUAUGUUACUCAUGUUUACACGACCAUACCGUUACCAUUUACUCAGUCAUUGUUGUAGGGAGAUGCUGCAGUUUUGGAAGAAGCUUAUCUUUAAAACCUGGCUUCAGGUUUUACCUGGUACUGAGCUGGUAAGUAGCAAGCCAAGAUUUCAGCUUUUCUCGUCUAUGUGUAGGGAUGCAGAAGGUGACAGCCUGCUAGAGUCACCCACCUGCAGCACAGGCCAGGGCCUACUACUCUUCUGCCCAGCAGAGAAGAGGUGGAGCCAUCUGUUACAUCGCUCACGGCACCUGAGAGCAGGGGCUGCUAAAGGCAUUUGUAGAAUUAGAGCAAAUGCCAGUUCCUGCACUGCUGGCUCUGCCAUUGCAUUGCUUUCCUGAUGCUGUGCCAUCUCUCCUUUGUUUUCUGCUUGGCUUGCAUCGAGGCUAUAUGUCUAUUUUUUCUUUAGUGGUGUUGUUUUUUUUUCCCCCUCUCUUUCUGUGUACAGAGAUUGGUAGUGCCUUAGUCACUGAUUGAUGUGAAAAGGCUUCUUACAAAGAAGGAAGUUAGGAAAAUGUUGGAAAAUUAACAGUAGCAAAAUUGUAAGACCAGUAUUCCAGAUGCAUUCUUGAAUACUAAGAAAACCAAACAGAACGUGUUUUUUCAACCAAUCUGGAAGAUGAUCUUGUUGCUAAGAUACAUUACAGCAAUGACUCCUGACUAUAAGAAGGAAAGUUCAGUGACUUAGUGUUGUGCUUGUUGUUUUAUAUAGCACAAAGGUUGAAAGUGAAAUACGUUUUCAAGGAACAAGUCUAGACUCAAGAAAAGGUGUAAAAUGAAUUUGUUAAACAUAAUUUAUAUCAUCUGAAAUUUAAAGAGGCUGUUGCACUGUUCUUAUGCUCAAUAUUUUCUUACAGAGAAGUUGUAAGUCACAAAGAACAACAAAGGAAUUGCUACACAUUGUCAUUUUCAGAUGCCUUCAUUACAAAGACUAGGAAGUCAAAGAUGGUUAGAAGAAAAACCUCUGUUCUCCUUGUAAUACUCAUUUUAAAUUUCUUUUUGUUUUUAGCCUUUCACUUGGUACUUUCUUUUAUGGCUGACCUCUGGUCAUCAUGGGUAUUUUAGUGCUUUCCUCAGUGUUGGAUAGUACUUUGUCAAGACAGCAAGCACUGUGUGAUACAUCCCUGCAGCAAGCACAAGCAGGCGCCAUGAGAAGGGCAGCGAUGAGGAAGUGAGCUCCCAGCCUCUUACAGGCUGUUCGUGUUGGUAUUUUAGGAGUAGCCAAGGUAGUAACACUUGGUUCCACCAAACCACACAACUCCAGGGCAGCCUUUCAGAUGGGCAUGCCGAUAACCAGCUGGCGACUUUUUGAGAAUUUUUUAGUAGGUGAGAAAUUCAUUGAAAAGUCAUGUUUUCUGGAAGAAAUAACUGAAUCUAUUGAUAGAAUUUCCUCACCAUACCAAGUAAACUUUGUAGAUUAAAACAAAACAAUUGUAUUAACUCUUAUCCUCGCCUAUAUCUUCCUAACUGAGGAGAAAGGAAGCACAGAGACAGGCACUACACUGAAAUGUGGAUACCCAUUCUUCUAAUGAAGAAGUGUUUCCGAAGUGCAGUGUGAUGGGCAUCAUCUCCCUUCAUAACAGCAAGGCCUCUGACCAUUUCAAAGUGGAUGACCUAUUGGUGAUAGACAGUGAGUGUCAUAAAGAAGGUCCUUGCGUUGCUCUCCUUGCCCCAGAAGGCUCUCAGUGGAAUUCCAAGAUGAGGGCCUUUUUGUCCACAGAAAAGAAGAAUGCAGAUCACAUGGGAAGAACUGCAUGUUCUGCAAGCUGCAGAAGAAUAGUUUUUGUCAGUUGAAAGAAACGCGUAUGUACCAGCUUAAAUUACACCACGUAAGUUCAUAUUAAUGGUAAUUUCCAUCAGUAGUCCUGUUAAUUUCUAAUGGGUUUAUGUGCUUUCCUAAAGACAGAUUCAGGUGCUUUCAAAGAGCCACAAAAUAUUAGAAAAUAAAAUAGAAGAUAUGAAAGCCAAGUACUGAACUGUGGAAAUAAAACCAUCUAAUAUCUGUCAGGGAGAACACAGCCAUAUGAUGGACUUCAUCCAGAGAACAGUUGAACACCUCUGUUUCAGUAACGAGGCACUUUAGUUUACAUGAGUUAAAUAAUCCUCUCCCCUUCCCUCCCUCUCUGCAAUUCAUUUCAGA